GCUUACGGCCACACCGCCUGGUUCACGCCCGGUUUCGUUUGAUCUCGGAAGCUAAGAUAGGUUGGGCCUGGUUAGUACUUGGAUGGGAGACCGCCUAGGAAUACCAGGUGCUGUAAGGC
RNAcentral lists this ribosomal RNA (119 nucleotides) under Scophthalmus maximus (turbot). The record is from RNAcentral. Lineage: Eukaryota; Metazoa; Chordata; Actinopteri; Pleuronectiformes; Scophthalmidae.